Molecule: ribosomal RNA, 88 nt
Filed under: Nelumbo nucifera (sacred lotus)
Lineage: Eukaryota; Viridiplantae; Streptophyta; Magnoliopsida; Proteales; Nelumbonaceae
Source: RNAcentral
GAUCCCAUCAGAACUCCGAAGUUAAGUGUGCUUGGGCGAGAGUAAUACUAGGAUGGGUGACCUCCUGGGAAGUCCUUGUGUUGGACCC